Molecule: ribosomal RNA, 479 nt
Filed under: uncultured bacterium
Lineage: Bacteria
Description: partial 16S ribosomal RNA
Rfam family: Bacterial small subunit ribosomal RNA
Source: RNAcentral
GAUGAACGCUGGCGGCGUGCUUAACACAUGCAAGUCGAACGAAGCACCUUGAUUUGCUUCUUCGGAUGAAGAUCUUGGUGACUGAGUGGCGGACGGGUGAGUAACGCGUGGGUAACCUGCCUCAUACAGGGGGAUAACAGUUAGAAAUGACUGCUAAUACCGCAUAAGACCACAGCACCGCAUGGUGCAGGGGUAAAAACUCCGGUGGUAUGAGAUGGACCCGCGUCUGAUUAGGUAGUUGGUGGGGUAACGGCCUACCAAGCCGACGAUCAGUAGCCGACCUGAGAGGGGGACCGGCCACAUUGGGACUGAGACACGGCCCAAACUCGUACGGGAAGCAGCAGUGGGGAAUAUAGCAGAAUGGGGGAAACGCUGAUGCGGCGACGCCGGGUGAGCGAUGAAGUAUUUCGGUAUGUAAAGCUCUAUCAGCAGGGAAGAAAGUGACGGUACCUGACUAAGAAGCACCGGCUAAAUACGUG